RNAcentral lists this ribosomal RNA (424 nucleotides) under Verrucomicrobiota bacterium. Its description in RNAcentral is "Verrucomicrobia bacterium partial 16S ribosomal RNA". It matches the Rfam family "Bacterial small subunit ribosomal RNA", at positions 355 to 776 of the family's 1533-position model. Lineage: Bacteria; Pseudomonadati; Verrucomicrobiota. The record is from RNAcentral.
UGAGGAAUAUUGGUCAAUGGGCGCGAGCCUGAACCAGCCAAGUCGCGUGAGGGAUGACGGUCCUACGGAUUGUAAACCUCUUUAGGCGGGGAGUAAUGUGCUCUACGCGUAGAGUAGUGAGAGUACCCGCAGAAUAAGGACCGGCUAAUUCCGUGCCAGCCGCCGCGGUAAUACGGAAGGUUCGGGCGUUAUCCGGAUUUAUUGGGUUUAAAGGGAGCGUAGGCCGUUUGGUAAGCGUGUUGUGAAAUGUAGGGGCUCAACUUCUAGAUUGCAGCGCGAACUGUCAGACUUGAGUGCGCGCAACGUAGGCGCAGUUCAUGGUGUAGCGGUGAAAUGCUUAGAAAUCAUGAAGAACUCCGAUUGCGAAGGAAGUUUACGGGAGCGAAACUGACGCUGAAGCUCGAAGGUGCGGGUAUCGAACAGG